RNAcentral lists this ribosomal RNA (497 nucleotides) under uncultured bacterium. RNAcentral describes it as "partial 16S ribosomal RNA". It matches the Rfam family "Bacterial small subunit ribosomal RNA", at positions 28 to 507 of the family's 1533-position model. The record is from RNAcentral.
GAUGAACGCUGGCGGCGUGCCUAAUACAUGCAAGUCGAGCGAACAGACGAGGAGCUUGCUCCUCUGACGUUAGCGGUGGACGGGUGAGUAACACGUGGAUAACCUACCUAUAAGACUGGGAUAACUUCGGGAAACCGGAGCUAAUACCGGAUAACAUGCUGAACCGCAUGGUUCAACAGUGAAAGACGGUCUUGCUGUCACUUAUAGAUGGAUCCGCGCCGCAUUAGCUAGUUGGUAAGGUAACGGCUUACCAAGGCAACGAUGCGUAGCCGACCUGAGAGGGUGAUCGGCGACACUGGAACUGAGACACGGUCCAGACGACUACGGGACGGCGCAGUAGGGAAUGUUCCGCAGUAGGGGAGAGCAUGGCGGAAUAGCGGCACGUGAGAGAAGGAGAUCUUGGGAUCGGGAAGCUCUGUUAUUAGGGGAAAACCAAUGUGGAAGUAGCUAUGCAGGGCUUGACGGUAACUAAUCAGGAAGCCACGGCUAACUACGUG